UCAAAGCAAAGGUGUUAGUUAAUUCAAUUUAUUUUAUAAUAUUAAAAUGUUUAUAUGUGACUAUAUAUAAAUUUUAGACAUAUUUUUUAAAAUAAAUAUAUAUUUUUUUAUUGGAUCCAUGGUGCACUAAGUGCCACGAUGGAAUGGACACACAGGACUUUUUUCGAAAAUAACCCUGUGAAAUUUUGUAUUUGCCAAACUAACCCUGUGAAACUUUUAUUUAUGAAACUAACCCUCCCUCGCCACCUCAGCGGCCACAUCAGCAUUUCUCACAAAGACGGUGACUCGUUCACCGUCUUUAGGCAGUCGUCUUGAAGGCGGUGAAUGGUUCGCCGCCUUCUCGAGGCGUACCAUUCACCGCCUUCUCAGCAAGCAAAGGUGCCUCGAGAAGACGGUGACUCGUUUACCGCCUUAUGAAGGCGGUGAAUCGUUUACCGUCUUAUUGAGGCCUGAAUCAUCCACCGCCCUCUUAGCAAUUCCCCGCGUG
Molecule: long non-coding RNA, 487 nt
Filed under: Ananas comosus (pineapple)
Lineage: Eukaryota; Viridiplantae; Streptophyta; Magnoliopsida; Poales; Bromeliaceae
Description: long non-coding RNA (ACOM_LNC019894)
Source: RNAcentral